GGAUCUGACAUUUAGCUUCUUCAAAGUAAUAAAUGCAUCUAAAAAUGCAACAAAGUUCAAUAUUUCAUUUACAGCAAUAGAAUUGGAGCCACGAACCCAGAUGUGUCCAGUCCAGGAAUUGGUAUGGUGAGUAUCUUUUCAUUAACAGUCUUAUAAAAAUAAAAAUAAAAAGCCUUAAAGCAAAAGUAAUAAGAUUGACUGAAAGAUGUUGUUCAUUGUGUUUUCAGAGUUGUUCUGCCCCACGAGAGAUGUAUUCUCUGAUCACUUCUGCACUAGCCACAUCUCAACCCAUAUAUGAAGAUUUGGAGCACUCAGAGUCACAUCAGCACAACAGAGCAGACCCUUCACACACUUUUAUUACUUCUGCAAACCCAAUCUACCAGCCCUCAGAUGCCGUGGCCAACAAAAAACAGCAUCAAAAAAAUGCAGAGGAAAAUGAGGUAUGAACCAAAUCCACAUAAUUGUUCAAUCAUGAACAGAAUACACAUUAAUGUAUUUCUUUCUUUCUCCUUAAGGAUGUUUACCACAUGUACUGCACCAUCCCAGAUAGACCAGUUUAGUCCAGCACUGGAGAAUACAGUUUGAUCCAGAUGCACUGAAGACUUUCAUUUUACUUGUUUCAAUUGACAAUUGUACUCUCCCAUUCACUGCGCUCUAGGUUUAUCCAACUAUGAUAACUUCUGCUUCUGAGAAACCUGGAAAUGUGAAAAAGGUUCAUAUAGUGUCAUAAAAAGCUGAAGUGAAUAUUAAUAACUAUUAUUUGGACUGGUGAUUUUUUCUUUUUAAUUGUGUUUUGUCUUGAUUCUGUAUGCACUGAAAAGCUGCAUUAUGGUUUUAAUUUAUUGUGUACUAUUUGUUUAAUUAUUAUUUGUUUAAUUAUUCGGGAAAAGGCAAAUUGUACUACAUUGUACAAAAUUCAUAUGAAUUCGCCACUAAAUCGAAAAGUUACGAAUUGCCCUGGGUAUGUGUUGGAAAAACUAUAAGCUUCAGUAUUUCUAGAGUGUUUCAUUAAAUUAUUGUUUUUAUUGCAUGAAGUCAAACUAACUACCAUUAUAAGAGAAUCUGAUCUUUUUAAAGUUAUAUUUAAACAUUUUCAUUUUUCUUUUACUUAGGUGAAUUUUUAUUUAAGACUACUUUUCACUUAUUUAAAGUCCCUCAAUAAAGCAAAGAGUUUCCUGUGUUCCGACACUCUCUUUACUUUCUAAUUCACACUUUGAGUCUCAUUCAGUCUGUUUUCUCACACUCGCUGUGAUGGAGUUGUUCGUCUUUGUUGUUUUUUGGCUCCUGGUGGAGGUUCAGUCAAACAGUAGGUGAUUUACGUUCAUGUGCUUAAUGAAAACCUUUUUGCAGUCUAAAAUAUGUGUGAUAUCUGUACAAGAGGAGUUUUAAUAUGAACAUACCUGACAUUUUAAUAGAGGAUUAAUAUGUACAUGUGAGAACAGCUGUCUUUUUAAAUAAAAAAAGAAAAUACAUGACUGAUUUUGGAAUAUUAGUAUACUUUUAAAUAUUAUUAUUAUUGUACUAGCAAAAAACAUUACAUGGGAUUCUUCUGCUGCCACAGUGACUGCAGUGAUUAUUAACUAUGUAUUGUUUGACUUCCACCAGACACACUUCAGAAACCCUUCAUCAGUGUUAGUGAAGAUAAGGAUCUGCUCAUCAUAUCAUGUGAAAUACCAGCUUCAGUCAGAGCUGAUGUGUCCUGUAAUCUCUACACUGGAGAUGAUGCUCUUCUGGACAGCCUUGACUCUCAGAGGAGUUCAUUUGGAGAGUAAUAUCUUUGUAUGUUUUAUCAAACUCUUAGUGAACUCUUGAGAAGAUCAGGACACAUCAGACAAGUGAGCUGUGAUUAUUCACUCAAGACUAAACCUGACAUCAGAUCUCCACACAGUGACACAUACUGUACACACUCAGAGGUAUGAUUAAUUUACCAUGGUAUAUAAUUUUCACAUAUGGGAGUUGUAGAAACCAUAAUUUUCUACAAAAUGCAGGCUACAAUGCAGGCUAGUAAUAUAUAAAUAUAUAAUAUUUGUAUAUCCAUUAAAUCAAAAACAACCUAUAAACAAAAGAAAAGUCAAUAACCCACAAACAAACAAAUAAAUAUGUCAAUGUCUGAAAAGUGAUGUGCUAUUUUAGUUAUCUGGUG
RNAcentral lists this long non-coding RNA (2143 nucleotides) under Danio rerio (zebrafish). RNAcentral describes it as "lncRNA (ENSDARG00000117559.1)". Lineage: Eukaryota; Metazoa; Chordata; Actinopteri; Cypriniformes; Danionidae. The record is from RNAcentral.